This 407-nucleotide unclassified non-coding RNA is filed under the name Cichorium intybus (chicory). RNAcentral describes it as "partial external transcribed spacer". The record is from RNAcentral. Lineage: Eukaryota; Viridiplantae; Streptophyta; Magnoliopsida; Asterales; Asteraceae.
GCAAAAAUAGAAUCGAUAAAGACCCUACAGCCCACAUCGCGUUCCGUAUCCAAGAAACCAAACGAUGCUCCAARGGCCAUGCCAUCGUUGCAUAGGCAACAACAGUAUGGACCAUGGAGAGCGCUUCAAGGUUCGUUUAAUGCCCCRAGGGACAUAUCACGAAGAGGGACUUUGAUAUAACCAAACGAUGCCAUUGAUUAGGUAUGCAGYACAGGAAACCCACCGGAUGCUCAAGGCAAACUAAGCCUUGUAGCACUAYUGAAGAGGUAUGCACGCGUGGAAGUUGCUGCUCAAGCAGACAUCCAACCACCCGUAACAAACCAAACACCACUCAUGCACCUUUACGGUAGACAUCCCCGAAGACCAUCCAGCUAAGAGCCACCCCCUUGGCACCRAGACCAAGCAAG